Molecule: ribosomal RNA, 514 nt
Filed under: uncultured bacterium
Lineage: Bacteria
Description: bacterial SSU rRNA
Rfam family: Bacterial small subunit ribosomal RNA
Source: RNAcentral
AGGAAAUAGCUAUAUCCGAGACAGGUGGUGCAUGGUUGUCGUCAGCUCGUGUCGUGAGAUGUUGGGUUAAGUCCCGCAACGAGCGCAACCCUUAUCGUUAGUUACCAUCAUUAAGUUGGGGACUCUAGCGAGACUGCCAGUGACAAGCUGGAGGAAGGCGGGGAUGACGUCAAAUCAUCAUGCCCCUUAUGACCUGGGCUACACACGUGCUACAAUGGAUGGAGCAGAGGGAAGCGAAGCCGCGAGGUGAAGCAAAACCCAGAAAACCAUUCUCAGUUCGGAUUGUAGUCUGCAACUCGACUACAUGAAGUUGGAAUCGCUAGUAAUCGCGAAUCGGCAUGUCGCGGUGAAUACGUUCUCGGGCCUUGUACACACCGCCCGUCACACCAUGAGAGUUGAUAACACCCGAAGCCGGUGGCCUAACCGCAAGGAGGGAGCUGUCUAAGGUGGGAUUGAUGAUUGGGGUGAAGUCGUAACAAGGUAUCCCUACGGGAACGUGCGGCUGGAUCACCUC